This 184-nucleotide ribosomal RNA is filed under the name uncultured bacterium. RNAcentral describes it as "partial 16S ribosomal RNA". It matches the Rfam family "Bacterial small subunit ribosomal RNA", at positions 1316 to 1500 of the family's 1533-position model. The record is from RNAcentral.
CUUCAUGAAGCUGGAAUUGCUAGUAAUGGCAGGUCAGCAUACUGCCGUGAAUACGUUCCCGGGCCUUGUACACACCGCCCGUCACACCAUGAGAGUUGGAAAUACCCGAAGCCUGUGAGCUAACUUAAAGAGGCAGCAGUCGAAGGUAGAGCCAAUGAUUGGGGUGAAGUCGUAACAAGGUACC